CGUGUCGCUACUACUAAUUGAAUGGUUUAGUAAGGUCCUCGGAUUGGCACCAUUGCAGAAUCUGCCGCGAGGUUGGUGCUCGAUAGGUGAUGAGAAGAUGACCAAACUUGAUCAAUUAGAGGAAGUAAAAGUCGUAAAAAGGUUUCCGUAAGUGAACAUGCGGAAU
This 166-nucleotide non-coding RNA is filed under the name Schistocephalus solidus. Its description in RNAcentral is "Eukaryotic small subunit ribosomal RNA". It matches the Rfam family "Eukaryotic small subunit ribosomal RNA", at positions 1672 to 1823 of the family's 1831-position model. Lineage: Eukaryota; Metazoa; Platyhelminthes; Cestoda; Diphyllobothriidea; Diphyllobothriidae. The record is from Rfam by way of RNAcentral.